This 253-nucleotide ribosomal RNA is filed under the name uncultured bacterium. Its description in RNAcentral is "partial 16S ribosomal RNA". It matches the Rfam family "Bacterial small subunit ribosomal RNA", at positions 524 to 776 of the family's 1533-position model. The record is from RNAcentral.
UACAGAGGGUGCAAGCGUUAAUCGGAAUUACUGGGCGUAAAGCGUGCGCAGGCGGUUCGUCGUGUCCGAUGUGAAAGCCCCGGGCUCAACCUGGGAAUGGCAUUGGAAACUGGCGGACUCGAGUGUGGCAGAGGGGGGUGGAAUUCCGCGUGUAGCAGUGAAAUGCGUAGAGAUGCGGAGGAACACCGAUGGCGAAGGCAGCCCCCUGGGCUAACACUGACGCUCAGGCACGAAAGCGUGGGGAGCAAACAGG